GGUAUAAUGGCUGAUAAAAGCGAUAAAUUGUAAAUUUAUGAAUGAAACGAGAAGUUUCUUAUACCA
This 66-nucleotide transfer RNA is filed under the name Blepephaeus succinctor. Its description in RNAcentral is "tRNA-Tyr". The record is from RNAcentral. Lineage: Eukaryota; Metazoa; Arthropoda; Insecta; Coleoptera; Cerambycidae.